CAGCCCAAACUGUAUAAGGGGUUUAUCUAGCUCUGUAAAGCCAAAGCAGGAGAUAUAAAGACACACACAGAGCCACAGAGAGUAUUUUACCGGCGUGUUUGAACGUUUCCAAAUCUCAGAAUAAAAUGUCUUCACCUGCUCAGGUGUGUGUGGCUGCUUCAGUGUGGCAGGCCUUCCUGCGUGUGUGCGCUCUUCACAGUUUGGACGCGGUGUGUCUUCAGUGGACGCUUCAACUGCUCCCACAUCCAGGUUCCUGUGCAUGCAGUGCCACUCAUGAGGACGAAGACUUACCAGUUUAAAUACUAAACUUCUCUUUUAUGAAAACAAUCUGUGUGUGUGUGUGUGUAGUCAAAAGUUUGGAUUGAUAUGACUGGAUAAGUGUGUGGCUUUAUGCCACACUGUAGCACUGCCUCCAAGAUACCUGUUGGUUUGGGGUCAAAACAGGCCAGAGGACUUUAUGAGCCAACCCUUGUAUCUUUAUAUGCAAUCUUUUGUUAUCUAAAAAGUCCAUAAAGUAUUUGGAGGCGAGACAUUUAAAGCCUAUCAAUGCAACUUAGGACUGUGUUGCACGAGGAGCUUUAACAAGACUAGCAGGGCUUUUUGAUGCGCUCAGUUUAAAUCCUUAAUGUGUCCGCAAACAAAAUGAGAAUUCACUCUUUAAAUAUUUCAGUCCAGGUCAGCUUUGAAAUGAACUUAAAUUAUGAGUCUAGUAUUUUAAAAUUAUUAUUGGUUGAUCAUUGGUACCUGAAACCUUCCUUACAGAUCGUUUUUUGGGGUUUUUUCUUUUUUUUUUUUUACAGUAGAUAGCACCAGUUCACAACAACAGUUAUCUCCAGAAGCUUUACAUUGUAAGGACGCUGAAAUAUUAGAGGUAGAUUCCAAUGACUGAAACAACCCCGAUGUGUAAGCACUUGGCAGCUGUGGGAAGGAAGAGCUGCUGUUUAACAGGAAGAGACCACAACAGGUUCCAGGCCAAUUGGGGGGCAGUAGGGAAGGAAGACAGAACAGAGCAGCAAAGAGAGCCCAUAAACAACAAACUGGAUAAAACGCAAACUAUGGGAGACUAGUGCAGAAUAACAAAACAGAUAUAAUGUGUAUAAUCACAUGGCUACCACAGAGCUACUACAAUGGUAAAAUAUUUGUUUAAGUUGGUUUCAAGUCAGUGAGUGCUGUGAAACUGCUUUGCAGGUAAGUAAAAGACAUUUUUGAAUGUAUGAUGUGGGAUCAUGUUUUAACUUCUGCUUCUGCAAACUAACAGUAUAUUAAUGUAAUCUGUUUUCCCUCUGCUUUUAAUAAAGUCAUAAAUGCGCUACUCUUCUCUGUCACAGUAAGUGUCCAUGUUCAGAGUGAAUAUGUGCGUGCAUGGCUGAGCACGGAAACACUUAACCUUUCAGACUGACAGGUGACAUCUUGUAAUUGGUGGGUCACCGUGGGUGGUUCUGGUAGAGUGACAGACACACAAAGAGGUGCACAUAACAAGGUGGAAAUGCACAAUUGGCUGUGUGACAAACAUGCAAUCGCCAAAGAUUUGGAAGUGUAAUCGUUUACAAGAGUGAAAAUAGAUUUCUGUAAAUAGAAAAGUACAAAGAGAAACAUCGAAUUCUGUUAUGAAAUCCUGAGGCCGGAAGCAAGCACAGCACUGCCAUCUAGUGGUCACACGAAGUAGUAGUAGUAGUAAAUAACAGGCAGAAAAGCCACAUACGUUUCAGCACAACAGCACGAUGACCUGUGAUUACUUUUUAAGAUUAAAUCUGCUAUUGUUGCAGCUAACAUAACUGAACACAUGUCCAGUUGGGAUGCCCUCAUUACUCUGCUUACUGGCAUUGGUCUAAAUCCUGGAGUUAGUUCAUGCUUACAGACAGGUCCAAAUCCACAAUGACAUGAUGGGUGCAAUAAGGUGUGGAUCUUUGAUCUACAAGUAUCUACCUAUUUUAGAGAUAGUCUCUUUAAUCCAUUCAAUUUAAAUCAACACACGACAUUGCUCAGUCCUCUUUGCAUUCAGUUUUAUUUAUGAGAGUUGCUUUAAAAGCAUUAAGUAUGACUCCUGGGGACAGUUUUAUAAUGAUCUUUGAUGGGUGGUGUUAUAAACAUACAGUCUUAAAAAAAAAAAAAAGCUGUAUGAUAAAUAUUAUGCACACAUUCAAACCAGCAUCCAACAGGUUUAGCUAGUCACUUCAAGGUGCAAGAUCAGAAUUUAAAAAUUGCAUUACUACCCUACACAGAAUUGUUUAGAAAAGCCCACUGGAGAUGUGUGUUCAAUAACUAUAAAUCAAACCUAUAUCGAUCCUUUAUAACACAGUUUCUUCAUCAGGUGCGCAUGAUUUAUCUGCCUGGACAUGCAGGUGACAGACUGUGUACUUCCUGUCUUCAGACUGUUUGGAACAGUGUUGGUAAAUUGGACUAAAUCAAGCACACCGACUAUAACAUACUGUGAUAAAUCACAGACCGACGUUUGUGACGGUGUCUCUACUCCCGCUCUGCUAUGGCAACCAGGCUAAAAAUCCAAAGCAGAACCUCGGUCACGACCCAUGUAGGAAAUCUCUGUUUGAAUGACCAACUGUGUGAAUAAAGUUACCUGAACUUAGGCUUGUCUUUGGUAACUACGCCGAUCUCCAGCUCACUAGCCUUGAAGUCCACUGACAGGACAGAGGACAGACAGGAAAUGGCCAACUGUAAAGACGGAAGGGAAAUACAAAGAAAAUGCUCCCGUCAGAACAUUAAAGGCAGACUGCGUGGCUAGGCGCUUGAUUUUAUAAACCUGUGGCAAUGAGACUGAAAACAUCUGAAUUCAGAGAUUAAGAGGUGUGGCUCAAUGCUUUUGUCCAUAUCAU
Molecule: long non-coding RNA, 2831 nt
Organism: Archocentrus centrarchus (flier cichlid)
Lineage: Eukaryota; Metazoa; Chordata; Actinopteri; Cichliformes; Cichlidae
Exons: 3
Source: RefSeq, a predicted model, not a curated record